UUUCUGAGAAGGAGUUCAGACCACAGCCUGGUUCCGUCAGUGAUUCCGGCAGGAUGGAACGUUCACGCGUUUAAUGACUGAGCCAUAAAACAACUGUGAGGUCCUCCAUUUCUUGGAACGUCAGCCUGUGGAAUUGCUACCACACCACUGCUCCUGGACCCCCUCCUACGAUGAGGCUCUGUGCCAUUUUGCAAACACUCAGAAGGAUGAAGCCUCAGAGCAGCUAAGAAAAUAUCUGUAGCACUCAGCAUUUUCACAAGAUGACAUCGUCACAUCCUGAGCACUCAUCUGGGUGAAUCAGAGGCAAGAGAAGACACAAAAGGAAAUUGGAGCUUGAUCUGGGUUAAGCUGAGGGGGACUUCUUCCCAUCUUUAACCUCGCUGAUGAAGACAAAAUCACCAGCAGGAUCUCCCAGUGUUGCAGUGUUGCAAGAACUACAGGAGAGGUUUUUUGCGGUACGCGGGCCGCUCACUGUUGUGGCCUCUCCUGUUGCAGAGCACAGGCUCCAGACGCGCAGGCUCAGCGGCCAUGGCUCACGGGCCCAGCUGCUCCGCGGCAUGUGGGAUCUUCCCGGACCGGGGCACGAACCCGCGUCCCCUGCAUUGGCAGGCGGACUCUCAACCACUGCGCCACCAGGGAAACCCCAGAAACUUGGUUUUUUAAAAAAUUAAAGUGUAAAUACAUAUAGUAAACUAUGUGUAUCUUAAGCGUACAGUUCAUUAAGCUUUAAUAACUGUUUACACCCAAAUCAACACAUAGAACAACUGCAUUACUCUAAAAGUUCUCUCAUUUUCUUUUCUGGUCUGUUCCCUCUGUUUGCCAGAGGCAAACACUAUUCUGUUUUUCAUUCCAUGGAUUAGUUUUGCCAUUUCUUGAAGUUUAUAGAAACGGAAUUGUACAGCAAGUCUUCUUUUGUGUCUGACUUCUUUCACUGAGCAUAAUACUUUUAUUUUGAUCAUGUAUCAGUAGUUCAUUGUUUUUAUUGAUGAGUAGUAUUCCAUUAUAUAAAUAUACCACAAUUUGAUUAUUCAUACUCCUGUUGAUGGGCAUUUAGUUAGUUUUUUCUGUCAUGAAAAAAGCUACGGUGAACAUUGGUGUACCCAUCUUUUUAUGGACAUAUGACAUGUUUAAUUUUAAAUUUAAGCUAUAAUGAAGUCAGAACAUUGAUACCUAAACUUUAAUUAAGUGGCCACUUGGAGUAAAAUCAGAGUAUAAAGAAGAUGGACUAGGAGAUGGAUACAUUUAGUAAGAUCUAUAACCAGGGGGGGAACCAGAACACACCAGGGGCUCCACACUGCACUGUUCUCAUUUUAGCUCUGAGCACUUCAGCCCAGCUGCGCUGUGAGCUGUCAUGGGAAUAAGUAGACAUCAGUUAGAGUUAUACGUGAAAAGACAUACUUAGAGACAGACAUACAUGGGUUAAGUUCUGGCUCAGUAACUUAAGACACAUUAAUUGACCACUCUGAGCCUUAGUCUUUCUCGUCUGUAAGACAAAAUAAUUCCCAAUGUGAUAGGUAUAAAUAUUAAAUGGGAUGUAAGAGUUAAGGUCAUAGCACAUUUAAUUUGUAUAAAAUAUAAUUAGAGAUAGCAUAAUUUGUGUAUCAUAAUGAGACAAAAUAUAUUGAGGUUAUAAUUUGAGUCCUAGCUCAUACGCUAUAGAUAGUGGGAUGAUUUAAAUUAAAAAAAAAUUGUUGGAUGUUAACUAGACUUACUGUAGUGAUCAUUUCACAAUAUAUAUAAAUAUCAAAUCAUUAUGUUGUAUAUCUGAAACGAAUCUAAUGUUGUAUGUCAGUUAUACCUCAGUAAAAAAAUAAUUUUUGUUUUGUUUGAAGUAGGUGAUUCUGUGGUUAAGCUUACAUAAGGCAAACUGUUGCAAUAAAUGACACACACUCUGAUGGAUAAAACCCCUAACAUUAGUGACUUAAUAAAUAAAAUCCCAUUUCAGGAUCCUUUCCUUAAAUUUUGCCAAAUGUUCAACGUUGUUGUUCUCUAUCAUCGAAAUUGACUGCAAAGGGACAUCAUUAAUGAAAUGAGAUUUUACAUAUUCCAUCUUUGAAAAUGUCUUUUCACACAGUUAGAUCCAGCUAAAUACUGAUAUCAGUCCAUAAGCAUGCGAUUUUAGUUGAGCAUAUUCAUUACUUGGAAGGCAUUGAUAGAAUUCUAUUAGAUUUGCCUCUUGAUAUUUGCCUUUUAUCCUGUCAUUACACUGCAAAUUAAUUACCCUCAAUUGAAGGUAAAUGGAAGCUCCUCGAUUUCAUUAGUUAAAUAAAUUUUAUAUUUUUAUUAAAUACAUUUUGAAAUUUGAAAAAUGUCCUUCACACUUCCAUGGAGGUCUGAAAGAUGCUGCUGGAACUACAGUUCGAGCUUGGAAAAUAUAUCUGCUGCAAAUUUUUGUGAGAAUAGAGAUCUCACUACUUGUUUGAACAUUUGACAGCCUGGGAAAUGUAUAAAGCAUUGCAGGUGUAAGCAAGAAUUAUUGGUCCCCAUUGUAGUGAUCAUUUCAUAAUGUAUGCAAAUGUCAAAUCAUAGUGUAAUACACCUGAAACUAACAUAACAUCAUACAUCAACUGUAUCUCAAUUAAAAAAAUAAUUAUUGGUCCCUAAUAACUUAUAUUUUCGUUUACUUAGGUGGCCAAAU
This is a long non-coding RNA of Globicephala melas (long-finned pilot whale), 2638 nucleotides long. RefSeq lists it as uncharacterized. The record is from RefSeq and is a predicted model, not a curated record. Lineage: Eukaryota; Metazoa; Chordata; Mammalia; Artiodactyla; Delphinidae.